GCUUACGGCCAUACCAGCCUGGGUACGCCUGAUCUCGUCUGAUCUUGGAAGUUAAGCAGGGUCGGUCCUGGUUAGUACUUGGAUGGGAGACCGCCUGGGAAUACCAGGUGCUGUAAGCA
RNAcentral lists this ribosomal RNA (119 nucleotides) under Salmo salar (Atlantic salmon). Lineage: Eukaryota; Metazoa; Chordata; Actinopteri; Salmoniformes; Salmonidae. The record is from RNAcentral.